UUUCCUGAUGACACUAAGAUGAAGACCAGAGCUGACCACUGAGCAGGAGACAGUUUAUCUGUGGAGAGACUUCCUGAACUCAGAGACUGUUGGAUCUCCUCCACUAGAGAACGAUCAUUCAGUUCAUUCAGACAGUGGAACAGAUUGAUGCUUUUCUCUGCAGACACAUUCUCACUGAUCUUCUCCUUGAUGUACUGAACUGUUUCCUGAUUGGUCUGUGAGCUACUUCCUGUCUGUGUCAGCAGACCUUGUAGGAGUCUCUGAUUGGUCUGCAGUGAAAGUCCCAGGAGGAAACGGAGGAACAAGUCCAGAGGUCCAUUUGGACUCUGUAAGGCCUGGUCAACAGCUCUCUGAUGGAGAGACUUUAUAUUUGAUUUGCUAAAAAAUAUAGAGAAUAUUGUUGAGAAAAAGGAUGGUUGAUUUUCUUCCAUCAGGUUGACUCCAGAGUUGAUGAAGGUCCGAUGAACAUGAAGAGCAGCCAGAAACUCCUGAACACUCAGAUGGACGAAGCAGAACACCUUGUCCUGGUACAGCCCUCUCUCCUCUCUAAAGAUCUGUGUGAACACUCCUGAGUACACUGAGGCUGCUC
Long non-coding RNA from Poecilia latipinna (sailfin molly), 589 nucleotides. RefSeq lists it as uncharacterized. Lineage: Eukaryota; Metazoa; Chordata; Actinopteri; Cyprinodontiformes; Poeciliidae. The transcript has 2 exons. The record is from RefSeq and is a predicted model, not a curated record.